RNAcentral lists this ribosomal RNA (460 nucleotides) under uncultured bacterium. RNAcentral describes it as "partial 16S ribosomal RNA". It matches the Rfam family "Bacterial small subunit ribosomal RNA", at positions 338 to 795 of the family's 1533-position model. The record is from RNAcentral.
CCUACGGGCGGCUGCAGUGAGGAAUAUUGGUCAAUGGGCGCGAGCCUGAACCAGCCAAGUAGCGUGAAGGAUGACGGCCCUACGGGUUGUAAACUUCUUUUAUAAAGGAAUAAAGUGCGGCACGUGUGCCGUUUUGUAUGUACCUUAUGAAUAAGGAUCGGCUAACUCCGGGCCAGCAGCCGCGGUAAUACGGAGGAUCCGAGCGUUAACCGGAUUUAUUGGGCUUAAAGGGAGCGUAGGUGGGUUGUUAAGUCAGUUGUGAAAGUUUGCGGCUCAACCGUAAAAUUGCAAUUGAUACUGGCAGCCUUGAGUACAGUUGAGGUAGGCGGAAUUCGUGGUGUAGCGGUGAAAUGCUUAGAUAUCACGAAGAACUCCGAUUGCGAAGGCAGCUUACUAGACUGCAACUGACAUUGAUGCUCGAAAGUGUGGGUAUCAAACAGGAUUAGAUACCCGAGUAGUC